RNAcentral lists this long non-coding RNA (353 nucleotides) under Malus domestica (apple). RNAcentral's name for it is "long non-coding RNA (MDOM_LNC006379)". The record is from RNAcentral. Lineage: Eukaryota; Viridiplantae; Streptophyta; Magnoliopsida; Rosales; Rosaceae.
UAUGGCACAGCCUUCACAUGAUCAUUAAUUUCCUGCACCGUACGCUCACCUUGGAUCCAAGUCUGGUGCCGGCAUGUCGUACAGACCAUAAUAGGUGGUUCCGACUCGUAGGUGACCCGCGAUUUAUCGCAUAACUUUCACAUGAUCGUAGCUCUUAAGCGUACAUAUUUAUACCUAGCAUGUCGUACAGGUCAAAUCAGGUGACUUUGACUCGUGUGCUAGCCUAGGUUGAUGAGCUAUAGUCCAGUCGUAUAGGUCACAUUAGGUGACUCAGACUGGCAUGUUAUUUUACAUUGAUUCUAAACCUGGCUUACAUGAUUUAUACGUUAUGACAUGGCAUAUUUUGGGUUUCA